AAUUCGCCGACCAACCUAUGGUGGUUGUUUGCACGUCACGAAAGGAAGCCGGUGAAAUUCCGGAACGGUCGCGCCACUGUGAUCGGCGGACGCCAUGGGCUCCGGCCGAAAGUCAGACCCUCUUGUGAUUGGCCGCAAAG
This is a non-coding RNA of Hyphomicrobium denitrificans 1NES1, 140 nucleotides long. NCBI's taxonomy places the organism in Bacteria, Pseudomonadati, Pseudomonadota, Alphaproteobacteria, Hyphomicrobiales, Hyphomicrobiaceae. The record is from Rfam.